AGGCAACAUGGUCAUUAUAUUUUUACAAAACAUACAAAAUUAAUAUUUACUUUUAAAGCUAUGGAAAUAAAAUUACAAAUAUUUGCAGAAAAAAUGCGUUUUAAAAUUGUUUCAUUGUAAUUUGAUCGCAAAAGUCAAGCUCCUCACCCCACCAAUCAAUUAACAUCCCUAUUUCACUGAAUUCUUCGAAAUCUCCGAUGCCGAUCUUGCGAACUGCAUUAAGAUUAAAAUUACCUCCAAAUCCUUCCUGAAAAACCCGAUUGAAGCCCUCUGUAGAAAUCAGAACGAGAAAACAUUCAAGCGGAAUAAGAAAAAAUGGUGGAUUGGUGGUUGGCAGUGAUAGGCGCAGCUAUCCCAGCGGUUGCAGUACAACAGGUAAUAAAAUCUAGUCGCAAAUCAGCAGGGCAGGCAAAAACCCCACACGAAAAUGAAAAGCACUUCUUCUGCGAAAGAGUCUGCACUUCACAGCGAAUGUUGAACAAAGUGGGAGGGGUUUCCAAAGACCUCCCUCAUAAUACAUGCGUUACUGUCUGCGGGGCGUCUGAAUUGGAUUCAUGUACGGACGCUUGCACUCGAGCAGUGUGUGCAAAUGACUACCAUUUGCCUAAUUGGAGCGAUGUUUGUCUCAGGAGGUGCCAAAAUCAGUGCCUGAAGCUUCGUUCACGUUCUGCCGAUUAGAUUACUAGUCGAAUGCUUACAGCUUGAUAAUGGAUGCUGCUUCUGGGAUACAACUUCAAUAUCUUGCAAUCCCUUGGUGCCGUCUCUGAUCUGUGCCAUUAUUUCUUGCAAUCGAUAAUGCCACGAGGCACUGGUUCUUACAGAGCAGACACAAAUCUGGAUUAACAAAAGAAACAAUGUAAAUUCCACGAUGAUGAAGCAAUGUGCUUGAAACUUGCUCUUAUAUCUCCUAAAUCAAAAAGGUGGUAACCUUUGAGGUUUGAUUAGUCACCUCCCUUUAAUAUCCAUCUCUUCAUAACAACGAUUAGAUAAUCAUCGUCCUUAUAAUUCAUAUCUGAUUGUCUAGAUACUAAUCACACCAUCUUAUACAUAAUCAGUUAGUAGUCUUCAUGACUACCGAUUCUCAUUAA
Molecule: long non-coding RNA, 1088 nt
Organism: Cryptomeria japonica (Japanese cedar)
Lineage: Eukaryota; Viridiplantae; Streptophyta; Pinopsida; Cupressales; Cupressaceae
Exons: 2
Source: RefSeq, a predicted model, not a curated record